AGAGUUUGAUUAUGGCUCAGGAUGAACGCUGGCGGCAUGCCUAACACAUGCAAGUCGAACGGAGUUAAGGAGUAGCUUGCUAUGAAUUAACUUAGUGGCGGACGGGUGAGUAACGCGUGAGUAACCUGCCUCUCAGAGGGGGAUAACGUUCUGAAAAGAACGCUAAUACCGCAUAUAAUUAUGAGGUCGCAUGACUUUUAUAAUGAAAGGAGCAAUCCGCUGAGAGAUGGACUCGCGUCUGAUUAGCUUGAUGGUGAGGUAACGGCUCACCAUGGCGACGAUCAGUAGCCGGACUGAGAGGUUGAACGGCCACAUUGGGACUGAGACACGGCCCAGACUCCUACGGGAGGCAGCAGGUGGGGGAUAUUACGCAAUGGGGGGAAAAACCCCUGACGUAGCAAUGCCGCGUGAAGGAAGUAAGGUUUUCGGAUUGUAAACUUCUUUUGUCAGGGACGAUAAUGACGGUACCUGACGAAUAAGCUCCGGCUAACUAUGUGCCAGCCGCCGC
Molecule: ribosomal RNA, 508 nt
Filed under: uncultured bacterium
Lineage: Bacteria
Description: bacterial SSU rRNA
Rfam family: Bacterial small subunit ribosomal RNA
Source: RNAcentral